This is a long non-coding RNA of Macrobrachium nipponense, 295 nucleotides long. RefSeq lists it as uncharacterized. The record is from RefSeq and is a predicted model, not a curated record. The transcript is spliced from 3 exons. NCBI's taxonomy places the organism in Eukaryota, Metazoa, Arthropoda, Malacostraca, Decapoda, Palaemonidae.
AAUUCUUCAUCUAAACUAGAGAAUUCGCUCUGAAAUUUUGUUUAUACUUUGAGCAGCUGACUCCAAGAUGAGAUUUACUGGUGGAGAUCUGCUAGUUUCUUCAACAUCGUCAUCAAGAUGUAAGCUUCAUAUUCUCAGAUGGUCUAAUAUUAAAGAGAUGAACCCCAUUCAUAUGGAACAAGCCCACAAGAGCAAUUGACUUGAAAUUCAAGCUUCAAAAGAUUAUGGAGUUCAUGAAGAAGUAAGAGAAGGUAAAGGGAAAUACAGAGAGAGAGAGAGAGAGAGAGAGAGAGAG